CCGCCCCCGCCCGGGGGAACUUUCCGCAAUGGGGUUAUUCCUGUUCGAGAAACAUUUCGUCGGUAGGAAGGAGUUUGGAUUGUCCCCUCUUUUCUCAAGGAAGAAGUUNUGACGGUACUUGAGGAAUCAGCCUUGUCUAAAUUCGUUCCAGCAGCCGCGGUAAUACGGGGGAGGCAAACGCUAUCCGGAAUUAUUGGGCGUAAAGCGUCCGCAGGUGGUCAGACAAGUAUCAGGUUGCUUAACGACCUAAAGGCGGUGGAAACUUGCAGACUAAAAAACAGUAUGGGUAGCCGGAAUUCCCAGUGUAGCGGUGAAAUGGGUAGNGNUUNCUUUCCCCAGUGGCGAAAU
This 348-nucleotide ribosomal RNA is filed under the name uncultured cyanobacterium. RNAcentral's name for it is "bacterial SSU rRNA". It matches the Rfam family "Bacterial small subunit ribosomal RNA", at positions 343 to 721 of the family's 1533-position model. Lineage: Bacteria; Bacillati; Cyanobacteriota. The record is from RNAcentral.